RNAcentral lists this long non-coding RNA (6414 nucleotides) under Homo sapiens (human). RNAcentral describes it as "HSALNT0135842". Lineage: Eukaryota; Metazoa; Chordata; Mammalia; Primates; Hominidae. The record is from RNAcentral.
UUACAGGCAUGAGCCACUGUGCCCGGCCCCAUAAUGUUGUUUUUUUAAAGAGUGUCCCCAAUAUUGUAUAAGCUUCAGGUCCCAUAAAACCUGGACCUGCCUUAAUCUAAAUAAUCAGAUAUUUGACUGAUGAAUUUUCCUUUCUUCUCUGAUAGUUCUAUCUUUCCUGUGAUAAGAUACAAUUUUCCUGUCUCCAUGUUCUCAUAUUUUUACACAGUAAUCCUAUUUGUGAAAUUACCAUUACUUAUUGAUUAGCCUUACACUGGUUAAUGUUACCCUUCAUGUGGAAAGAACUAUUUCCUGCUCAUUUAGUUUCAAAGAUGUGAACUUCAGUUAUGUGUCCCACAGCAAAGUAAUCCUAAAAUCUUAGUAAUUUCAGCCUUGUAAGCCUUUGACUUCACACUCUUGUAUUUUAAUGGCUUUGAUGUCUUCUUACUAUUCUCUAGCAGAAUAAUUUCCUGUGUCUCAGAUGUCUUUACUGCUACUUUAGUUCACUUGCAACUUCAGUCUAAUCAUUUUGAACACUCUUUUAGCUUUUAUUUCCAUCUGUUUUCAUCUUCUUUCCAAAUAUUUUAUUUUCCUAAUAAACUACAUAUUUAAUGAACUCAAUUCCAAGAUUCUAGUUAAAAGCUCAGAGGUCAAAACAGGUUAAAAAACCAGUCUCAAUUUAGACUUGUCAGUCAAACACCACUUAAUAUACUUUCCUCUGCAUGCUUGAAAUAGUUUCAUGGAAGGGAAACGAAUUUUACAAGCUACUAGGUUUUUUCAUUUGAGAGUAGCAGAAAGUCUUCAACAUCAUUUAGGAAUGAAAUUAAUCUACCAUAUACAGAUGUUAAAUCAAACCAUCAAAAACUUGGCAUUUGCAUUCUUUUAUUGUUUUCUAAGUACUUUGUGCCCAGUGCUGUGUUAGAUGCUAUAGUAGAUAUUAAAGAGAUGAUAAGAUAGUAUUUCCUUUCCAGAGAUUAUGGCCCAAUUAGGAUAUGCAGUAUGCACAUAUGGAGGCUGGGCGCUGUGGCGCUCACCUGUAAUCCCAGCACUUUGGGAGGCAGAAGUGGGAGGAUUGCUUGAGGCCAGGAGUUUAAGACCAGCCUGGGCAACAUAGGGAGACCUUGUCCCUACAAAAAAAAAAAAAAAAAAAAUUUAGCCAGGUAUGGUGUGCAUGCCCAUAAUCCCAGCUACUGGUGAGGCUAAGGCAGGGGAAUUGCUUGAGCCCAGGAGUUUGAGGCUAUAGUGAGCUAUGAUCGAGCCACUGCAUUUCAGCGUGGGUGACAGAGUGAGACCCUGUCUCUAAAAAUAAAAACUAAACAACCAAAUUAAAAAAAAAAACAAAUGAAGUAACUAAAAAUGAUAUAAUCUAAUGUCAAAGCAAGCAGGAAGAAGACAAGUUACUUAUGGACUAGAGCCUUAUGAAAAAUAAAUUUAGAUUAAUAAACAGUAUUGGAAAUUAUUUCAGAAAUAAAUGAGCAAAUAAUACAAUGUUUGAUAUCAAACUUAGCAAUAGUAUUGACAACUUAUUCAUCUUUCAAAGUCCAGCUUAAAAUGCUGUUAUACCCAGAAACUUUCCCAGUCUGCCUAGUCAGAAUGAAUCACUUCACUCUCUGCAGUUUCUUAGCCCUCUGUAUUGCUCUUGAAGCACUUGCCAAACUCACAUAUACACAAUUCACCAUAACAGAGGACACACUUCUUUUAAAUUAAUUACAGAACUACUAUAUGGUGCUUGAUUCAUCUUUAAAUCUUGAUCCUAUCCAUGACCUUGCAGUGAUAAACCAAAUAAUGGGUACACUCAUAUUGUGUAAUAAACAGACUCUUUUAGUUGCAAGUGUCUGAAACCCAAAAUAGAAGUGUAACCAAAAAUUAAAUGUGCUGGCUCAUAUAACUGAGAAGUCCAAGAGUGGGUUUGGCAUUAUAUAUGCCUUGAUCAGCAUGCUCAAACAAUACAAUUUGUGUUCUGUCUCUUCCCUCCCUCUUUUAAAUAUACCUUCCAGUGUAUAUUCUUCAUUAAAAUACAUAUGACUGAUUGUUUUGAUAGCUCAUGAAUCCUGUAGAAGUUUUAUCUUUCACAGGUCCAUAAAUCAUCUCAGGAAUGGAUUCUGAUUGACUCAGCUGGGGUCAUAGUUUUGGGAGAAUGGGUGGGAUAUGAUGAUUGACCAGGUCUGGGUCCUUUUUCCCAUUUGUAGCAAGGGGUAGAGUGAAGAGGAUGGUUACUAGGGUUGAAAAAACCACAUGGGUUAGGGAAAGGACAGCUGGGCUGACCAAAAUAAAAGAUAUCUACUUUGUGUGAGUGUGUGUGUGUGUGUGUGUGUGUGUGUGUGAGAGAGAGAGAGAGAGAGAGAGAGAAAGAGAGACAGACAAAGUCUCACUCUGUUGCCCAAGCUGGACUGCACUGGCAGGGUCACAGCUCAGUGCAGACUUGACCUCCUGGGCUUAAGCCGUCUUCCCACCUCAGUCUCCCAAGUAGCUAGUACUACAGGUGUGUGGCACCACAUCCGGCUAAUUUUUUUUUAACAAUUUUUUUGUAGAGAUGAGGUCUCGCUAUUUUGCCUAGACUGGUCUCAAAAUCCCAGCUUCAAGUGAUCCUUCCACCUUGGCUGCUAAAGUGCUGGGAUUACAGGAGUAAACCAGCGUGCCUGGCUGAUGUCUACUCUAGAACGUGUCAUCCAAGACUGUAUUUUUUCCAAAUUGGAGAGGGUGAUUUAACUUUUACCAAUUUGAAGGAAAUUCUGUUAUGCAAUGCAAGGCCAUCCUGGAAGACUGCAAGCAAGAAAAAAAAGGUGGAAGCCACAGCAAGGUGCUGGUCCAGAGGAACCAUCUGGUCUUCAGAAAUGCAGAAUCCUGAGAAGACAUCUCAAAAGGCCAGUCUUCAGUUCUACAAUAGUGAUGUUAUUUACAGAAAUAAUUGGGGAAGUUGUAAAAUCUUGUGACCUCUGAAAUAAUGGCUGGUAAUCAUUUAAUUAUGCCUACAUCUUAAGAGAAUUCAGGCCCCUCUCAUCCUCCUAACCUAAUGGACUUUCAUUAGUUUUACUAGGUGGUUUAGUUUUGGGGAAAGGCUAUUUUCAUUUAAACUACAAACUAAAUUUCUCUCAAAGUUAGCUUAGCACAAAUCCAGGAAUGACCAAGAGCAGUUUGGGGGUUAAAGGCGAGAUGAGGGUUGGUUAGAUCACAUCUCUUUCAUUGUCAUAAUCUUCUCACUGUUAGAAGUUUUGCAAAGGCGAUUUCAUUUCUGGAAUGUCAUAUAAACGGAAUCAUAGCAUAUAGCUGUUUUAUCCUAGAUUGUUUUGCAUAGCAUUGUGUAUUUGAUAUUUAUCUAUAUUGAAUUACUAUUAGGUUGGUGCAAAAGUAGUUGCAGUUUUUGCCAUUACUUAUAAUUACUUAUAUGUAAUUACUUUUACACCAACCUAUCAACAGUUCAUUUUUUAUGUAUUUUUUACUAAUAUUUAAUUCUGUAGCUGUAUUUUAAUUUAUUAUCCUCUAGUUAAUGACAAUUGAGAUUAUUUCCAAUUUUGGCAAUAAAGCUAUUAGAAAAAAAUAUGCAUAGUUUUUCUGUGAAUACAGUUGCCCUUCAUUUCCAUGAGUUUUGAAUUCAUGGAUUCACACAACCACAGACUGAAAAUAUAACAAAAAGUAAACAAAAAAUAAAACAAUUUAAAAAUGCAAAUAAAAAAGCAAAGUAUAAUGACAAUGUACAUAGCAUUUACAUUGUAUUAGGUAUUAUAAUCUAAUCUAGGCAACCAGGCAAUGGCAGUAUUAUAAUCUAAUCAUCUGGGGAAUCUAGAGAUGAUUUAAAGUAUACAAAAGGAUGUGUGUAGGUUAUAUUUAAACCUUAGACCAUUUUCUAUGAGGUACUUGAGUACCUGUGGAUUUUGGCAUCUGAGGGGGUCCUGAAACCAAUUCUCCAUCAAUACCAAAGGAUAACUACAUAUGUUUCUAUUUCUCUUGAGUAAAUCCUAGAAGUGAGAUUUCUGGGUCAUAUGAUAAGUAAAUCUUUAACUCUAUAAGAAAUCUCCAAACUGUUUUCCAAAGUAUCCAUUCCGCAUUUCCAUUAGCAAUGUAUGAGAGUCACAUAUGUGGUGUAUCUUUGCAGGCACUUUAUAGUCAGUGUCUUUUAAUUGAAACCAUUCUAACAGGAGUUUAGUUGUAACAUAUUGUGGCUGUAAUUUGCAUUUCUCUAUUGAAUAAUGAUGUUCAGCAUCUUUUCAUGUGCUUAUUUACCCAUUUAUCAUUUUUGGGGAAGUGCUUAUAUAAAUCUUUUGCUCAUUUUUAUUGGGUUAUUUGUUUUCUUAUUGCUGAGUUGUAAAAUUUCUGAAUGUAUGUUAUGGAUACCAGUCCUUUAUCAGACAUCUGUUUUGCAAAUAUUUUUCCAGAGUCUGCAACCUUUUUAUUUUCUUAACAUUAUCCUUCAAAGAGCAGACAUUUUUAAUUUUGAUGAAGCCCAAUUUAUCUAUUUUUUCUGUUGUAGUUUGUGCUUUCUUGUUUUAUCUAAGAAAUAUUUGCCUCACUCAAUGUUCCAAAUAAUUUUUGUUUUCUUCUAGAAAUUUUAUAAGUUCAGUCUUUACAUAUAGGUCUACAACCCAUUUUGAGUUAAUUUUUUAAUGUAACGAUGGAUAAGGGUCAAGGAUUACCAUUGUGGAUAUGGAUAUUCAAUUUUUCAAGAAGAAAAAUCUUUCUCCUAUGAAUUGCCUUGGUAUGCUUGUCAAUUGACCAUAUUAUGUGUGGGUGUAUUUCUAGAUUCUCUUCUUUUCUUUUGAUCUAUAUAUCUAUUACCAUGUAAAUAACAAGUUGUCUUAAUAACAGUGGCUUCAAAGUAAGUCAGGUAGUGUGAUUUCUGUAACUUGGUUUUUUGUGUUUUAACUAUUCCAGUUCCAUGAGAUUUCCAUGUAAAUUUCAGAAUCAGCAUAUUGAUUUCUGUAAAAUAAAAGCCUGCUGGAAUUUUAGGAUUUCAUUGAAUCUGUAGGUAAAUUAAGGGAGAAUUGACAUAAUAACAAUAUCGAGUCUUCCAAUUUUUUAAAAAUGUAAAUCAUCUAGGAAAGGGUUUGAGCAUUCUAAUGCAGGGGUUCCCAGCUCCCGGAACACAGACCAGUACUGGUCCUAACGGAACUGGGCUGCACAGCAGGUGAGCUGUGGGCAAGUGAGCGUUACUGUCUCCAGUUCAGAUCAGCAAUGGCAUUAGAUUAUCACAGGAGUACAAACCCUGUGGUGAACUGUGCAUGCGAGGGAUCUAGGUUGUGUGGUCUUUAUGAGAAUCUAACUAAUACCUGAUGAUCUGAGGUACAGCAGUUUCAUCCCAAAACCAUCCCUCCCCACCCACCCUGUGGAAAAAAUUGUCUUCCAUAAAACCAGUCCCUGGUGCCAAAAAAGUUGGGGACUGCUGUUCUAAUACAUGAGCACAGUAUGCUUCUUUAUUUCUUAGGCAUUUUGUGUUUCUCUCAUCAGUGCUGUAUAGUUUUUAAUAAAUCUUGUACAUACUUUGUUAGAUUUAUCCCUAUCUCCCAUUGUGGUGCUAUUGUAAAUAAUACUUUAAAAUUUUCAAUUUCUAAUUGUUUACUGCAAAUAUAUAGAAAGGUCAUUGAUUUCUGUAUAUUGCCCUUGUGUUCUGCAACUUCACUAAAGUCAAUUAUUAGUUCCAGCAGCUUUAUUGGAGAUUUCUUGUCUUUGUGAUUUCUUUACAGAGACAAUUAGGUCGUCUGUGAAUAAAGACUAUUUCAUUUAUCUUUUUCAAUUAUAUAUGCAUUUUAAAAAAUUUAUUAUAUAUCUUCUAUACUAUGUUGAAAGGAAUGAUGAGAAUGACAUUCUUACCUCAUUUCUGAUUUCAGGGGAAAGCAUUCCAUCUGUUACCAUUAUGUAUGGAAUGUGUUUAUAGAUUUUUCAUACAUACCCUUUAUAAGGUUGAGAGUGUUCCCUUUAAUUCCUACUUUGGUUAGGGUUUUUUCAUGUUUUGUUUUGCUUUUUAAACCAUGAAUAAAUGUUAAAUUUUGUCAAAUGUCUUUUGUGCCUCAACUGAGAUGAUCAUAUGGUUUUUUUCUCCAUUAGUCUAUUAAUACGGUGAAUUAAACUUACUGAUUUUCAUAUUGACCCAAUCUUGCUUUCCUAUGAUAAACCGCAUUGUAUCAGGUUCUAUUAUUAUUUGAAUGUAUUUCUUAAUUUAAUUUGCUUUUUUGUUUUUUGAGACGGGGUCUCACCCUGUUGCCCAGGCUUCAGUGCAGUGGCACAAUCUUGACUCACUGCAACUUCUGCCUCCGAGGCUCAAGCAAUUAUCCCAGCCUCCCAAGUAGCUGGGAUUACAGUGCAUACCACCAUGCCUGACUAAUUUUUGUAUUUUUUUCUUUUGUAGAGAUAGGGGUUCAUUGUGUUUCCCAGACAGGUCUUGAACUCCUGGGCUCAAGUGAUCCACCCACCUCUGUCUCCCAAAGUGCUAGG